UACGUAGGGUCCGAGCGUUGUCCGGAAUUAUUGGGCGUAAAGGGCUCGUAGGCGGUUUGUCACGUCGGAAGUGAAAACUCAGGGCUCAACCCUGAGCGUGCUUACGAUACGGGCAAACUAGAGGUAUGCAGGGGAGAACGGAAUUCCUGGUGUAGCGGUGGAAUGCGCAGAUAUCAGGAGGAACACCGGUGGCGAAGGCGGUUCUCUGGGCAUUACCUGACGCUGAGGAGCGAAAGCAUGGGGAGCGAACAGG
RNAcentral lists this ribosomal RNA (253 nucleotides) under uncultured bacterium. RNAcentral's name for it is "partial 16S ribosomal RNA". It matches the Rfam family "Bacterial small subunit ribosomal RNA", at positions 524 to 776 of the family's 1533-position model. The record is from RNAcentral.